AAAGCAGGGGAUCGCAAGACCUUACGCUUUUGGAGCGGCCGAUGUCUGAUUAGCUAGUUGGUGAGGUAAAGGCUUACCAAGGCUUCGAUCAGUAGCUGGUCUGAGAGGACGACCAGCCACACUGGGACUGAGACACGGCCCAGACUCCUACGGGAGGCAGCAGUGGGGAAUUUUGGACAAUGGGCGAAAGCCUGAUCCAGCAAUGCCGCGUGAGUGAAGAAGGCCUUCGGGUUGUAAAGCUCUUUCAGUCGAGAAGAAAAGGUCGCGACUAAUAAUCGCGACUCAUGACGGUAUCGACAGAAGAAGCACCGGCUAACUACGUGCCAGCAGCCGCGGUAAUACGUAGGGUGCGAGCGUUAAUCGGAAUUACUGGGCGUAAAGGGUGCGCAGGCGGCUUUGUAAGUCAGAUGUGAAAUCCCCGGGCUUAACCUGGGAAUUGCGUUUGAAACUACAAAGCUAGA
This 461-nucleotide ribosomal RNA is filed under the name uncultured ammonia-oxidizing beta proteobacterium. Its description in RNAcentral is "bacterial SSU rRNA". It matches the Rfam family "Bacterial small subunit ribosomal RNA", at positions 189 to 645 of the family's 1533-position model. The record is from RNAcentral. Lineage: Bacteria; Pseudomonadati; Pseudomonadota; Betaproteobacteria.